RNAcentral lists this ribosomal RNA (320 nucleotides) under uncultured eukaryote. RNAcentral describes it as "partial 18S ribosomal RNA". It matches the Rfam family "Eukaryotic small subunit ribosomal RNA", at positions 1470 to 1796 of the family's 1831-position model. The record is from RNAcentral.
CCCUUAGAUGUUCUGGGCUGCACGCGCGCUACACUGACAUACUCAGCAAGUUUCCUUUCCCGAAAGGGUUGGGUAAUCUUGUUAGUGUAUGUCGUGAUGGGGAUAGAAUAUUGUAAUUAUUGCUCUUUAACGAGGAAUUCCUAGUAAGCGCAAGUCAACAGCUUGCGCUGAUUACGUCCCUGCCCUUUGUACACACCGCCCGUCGCUCCUACCGAUUGGGUGAUCCGGUGAAUGGUUCGGACUCUGGCUAUGCUAGCUACUAGCUACGUCAGGGAAAGUUCCGUGAACCUUAUCACUUGGAGGAAGGAGAANUCGUANCA